UCAUCCUAUCCUGGGGCUGUAUAAGGUCCCAAGGGUCCGGCUGUUCGCCGGUUAAAAGGGUACGCGAGCUGGGUUCAGAACGUCGUGAGACAGUAAAAUGACCGUUGCUGUCUUUAAAUUUGGCUAAUUGCUGGAAAAUCCCGUGUAUCUGAUGAUACUGAGAGUUAAUUUCAGUGACAAUUCUUCAGUGGGGACAAUCAGCAGGAAAGGCUGGUAGAUUUUACCAGAAUCUUCAGAGACUAUACGCCAGACUCUCCAAAUGGAGAAGAAGAUAUAGUCCGAACUGCAUAGCGAUAUGCAGAGACGAACAGAAAUGUUUCGUCCCUCUAAAAUAAUUUAUGGCUUUGGCUAUAUUGAGUCAAACCAUUGCUUUAUUAGCUUAGGGAGUAACAGAAUUGUCGGUCUCUAUCUGAUGUGGGCGUUAGGAUACUUGCAGAGGAGUUCUCUUCAGUACGAGAGGACCUAGAGAAACGGACCUCUGGUGUUCCGGUUGUCCUGCCAAGGGCAAAGGCCGGGUAGCUAUGUCCGGAAGGGAUAAGCGCUGAAAGCAUCUAAGUGCUAAGCCCCCCUCAAGAAUAAGUAUCCCUGUGCCGCAAGGCACUGUAGGCUGGUCGGAGACUACGACCUCGAUAGGCGCAAAGUGUAAGAUCCGUAAGGAUUUCAGCUAAUGCGUACUAAUAGCCAAUCGGCUUAGCCUU
RNAcentral lists this ribosomal RNA (698 nucleotides) under Candidatus Omnitrophota bacterium. RNAcentral describes it as "partial 23S ribosomal RNA". It matches the Rfam family "Bacterial large subunit ribosomal RNA", at positions 2537 to 2925 of the family's 2925-position model. Lineage: Bacteria; Pseudomonadati; Candidatus Omnitrophota. The record is from RNAcentral.